This 552-nucleotide ribosomal RNA is filed under the name uncultured Sulfobacillus sp. Its description in RNAcentral is "bacterial SSU rRNA". It matches the Rfam family "Bacterial small subunit ribosomal RNA", at positions 353 to 903 of the family's 1533-position model. Lineage: Bacteria; Bacillati; Bacillota; Clostridia; Eubacteriales; Clostridiales Family XVII. Incertae Sedis. The record is from RNAcentral.
AGUAGGGAAUCUUCCACAAUGGGCGCAAGCCUGAUGGAGCAACGCCGCGUGAGUGAAGACGGCCUUCGGGUUGUAAAGCUCUGUCUGUCGGGACGAGGACCGCGCCGNNCGGCGCGGGGGGACGGUACCGGCGGAGGAAGCCCCUGCAAACUACGUGCCAGCAGCCGCGGUAAGACGUAGGGGGCAAGCGUUGUCCGGAAUUACUGGGCGUAAAGGGCGUGUAGGCGGUUGCGCACGUAGCGGUUUUCAGCCGUCGGCUCACCCGACGGAGGGCGGCUAAACGGCGCAGCUCGAGGGCAGGAGAGGUGCAUGGAAUUCCUGGUGGAGCGGUGAAAUGCGUAGAGAUCAGGAAGAACACCGGUGGCGAAGGCGGUGCACUGGCCUGGCCCUGACGCUGAGGCGCGACAGCGUGGGGAGCGAACGGGAUUAGAUACCCCGGUAGUCCACGCCGUAAACGAUGGAUACGAGGUGUCGCGGGGGUCCACCUCGCGGUGCCGGAGCUAACGCACUCAGUAUCCCGCCUGGGGAGUACGGCCGCAAGGUUGAAACUCA